AGCCAAUGAUGAUUGGUGCUAAGUUAUUUCUGACACCUCUUGUAUGAGAGAAGCCUUUGCUGGCUUCUUUAUGAGCACAUAAAGCAUCAAACUGAGCU
Molecule: small nucleolar RNA, 98 nt
Organism: Andrographis paniculata
Lineage: Eukaryota; Viridiplantae; Streptophyta; Magnoliopsida; Lamiales; Acanthaceae
Product: small nucleolar RNA snoR1
Exons: 1
Source: RefSeq, a predicted model, not a curated record